RNAcentral lists this long non-coding RNA (1073 nucleotides) under Marmota monax (woodchuck). Lineage: Eukaryota; Metazoa; Chordata; Mammalia; Rodentia; Sciuridae. The record is from RNAcentral.
CUGACUGGAGGGAGGGCCGCUAAGCCAGGGCGCAGCCGGAGGAGCAGGCUGGACUACUGCACCUUGGGUGUGUGUGCUGCCCGGCUCUUUGUCCUAUAGGUGUGGCCUUCCACUGACGCUGGUGACUCAGGAUGCACUUGAGCAUCAGGCCAGCCUCAGCUUGGAUCCCAGCCCAGCUCUGCAACCUGGGUUCGUUCAGCCUGGAAAGCGGAGGGGCUCGGUUGUAGCUCUGGGGCAGAGCCUUCGCCCAGCGUGUGCUAGGCCCUAGGUUCAAACCAGCAGGCACUUCCAGCGGGAUCUGUAUGUGAAUCUCUGAGCACCAUCUCCAGGGCCUGUCAAACACUGGGGGAUUGAUGGGGAGUUUGGCUGAUUGGGAAGCAGAGCCCAGGACUCCCUAAGUCUCACCCGCUGGGGACAGGCUGACCUUCAUUAUAUAUUGACAGCAAAGUGGACUUUUCCAAGGAAAACCAGUCCUUCCUUUGAUCUAGCACUAACAGCAUAGAUGAGCCUCCAGGGAGGGGAGGUGGAUUUGCAGUGCAACAUCUGCUCUGAAGAGUGGCCGCCAAGCGCUUGCUCCCAGAAAAGAGCUGAAAUCCUUGGCUCUGUGAGCUCCAGUGGGGAGGGGGUGCACACUCAGUGCCCGGAAAAGCUUUCUUCCCCAGGUAUCUCUGCCCUUAAGGCUUUGUUGUCCCUCUUGUCCUCCACCUCCACGGUCAGCUUGGGAAGAGCUACAGUAGCCCCUGCCACCCUCCAUCUGUCCCCAGUGCACAUGGCCAGGGGUGACCUGGUGAGAUGCUUCAAGUAGGACAGAAAUAGAGGAACAGGACAGAGGUGAACCCAUGCCCAGCUUCACCACUGACCAUCGGAAGAGCUCCGCCCUUCAGAUCUGCUGCUGGAGACCUUUCUGCAUCUGUGUGGGGCAGUGGGGGUGGCAGCAGGUGGACUCUGCCAAAAUGCUGGAUUUCAGAAGGUUCAGCAUCUGCUGUUCUCCCAGGUGGCUCGCUCCAUUCAAAUUUUGGGCCAAAUACUAUUUCUGUAGCAUGAAACCAGAAUGAUGAAUUGUUUGGUGCCAG